AUGUCUGUCUGCCUGGUGGAGCUCUCCCCUGGGCCCAUGUCUGUCUGCCUGGUGGAGCUCUCCCCUGGGCCCAUGUCUGUCUGCCUGGUGGAGCUCUUCCCUGUGCCCAUGUCUGUCUGCCUCGUGGAGCUCUCCCCUGGGCCCAUGUCUGUCUGCCUGGUGGAGCUCUCCCCUGGGCCCAUGUCUGUCUGCCUGGUGGAGCUCUCCCCUGGGCCCAUGUCUGUCUGCCUGGUGGAGCUCUCCCCUGGGCCCAUGUCUGUCUGCCUGGUGGAGCUCUCCCCUGGGCCCAUGUCUGCCUGGUGGAGCUCUCCCCUGGGCCCAUGUCUGUCUGCCUGGUGGAGCUCUCCCCUGGGCCCAUGUCUGUCUGCCUGGUGGAGCUCUUCCCUGGGCCCAUGUCUGUCUGCCUCGUGGAGCUCUCCCCUGGGCCCAUGUCUGUCUGCCUGGUGGAGCUCUCCCCUGGGCCCAUGUCUGUCUGCCUGGUGGAGCUCUCCCCUGGGCCCAUGUCUGUCUGCCUGGUGGAGCUCUCCCCUGGGCCCAUGUCUGUCUGUCACUAUGCAGAAUGAAGUCCAGGUUUGUUUACUGUUUUUACAGACUGACUGGGUGCUUAGGCGAACACGUGAGCCCCCUCCCUCCCACGUCCCACCCAGACCCAGACUUAGAAACAGGAACCCAUCCCAGGGAAGGAGAGGUCAGGACUGGGCUUCUAUCACCAGACCCAGACCCAGGAACCCAUCCCAGGGAAGGAGAAGUCAGGACUGGGCUUCUAUCACCAGACUCAGACCCAGGAACCCAUCCCAGGGAAGGAGAGGUCAGGACUGGGCUUCUAUCACCAGACCCAGACCCAGGAACCCAUCCCAGGGAAGGAGAGGUCAGGACUGGGCUUCUAUCACCAGACCCAGAAACAGGAACCCAUCCCAGGGAAGGAGAGGUCAGGACUGGGCUUCUAUCACCAGACCCAGACACAGGAACCCAUCCCAGGGAAGGAGAGGUCAGGACUGGGCUUCUAUCACCAGACCCAGAAACAGGAACCCAUCCCAGGGAAGGAGAGGUCAGGACUGGGCUUCUAUCACCAGACCCAGUGGAGGGGUAGGAUUUCAGGCACCGAGACAUCGUGGCUAA
Molecule: long non-coding RNA, 1119 nt
Filed under: Oncorhynchus mykiss (rainbow trout)
Lineage: Eukaryota; Metazoa; Chordata; Actinopteri; Salmoniformes; Salmonidae
Description: lncRNA (ENSOMYG00000055777.1)
Source: RNAcentral